RNAcentral lists this ribosomal RNA (301 nucleotides) under uncultured bacterium. RNAcentral's name for it is "partial 16S ribosomal RNA". It matches the Rfam family "Bacterial small subunit ribosomal RNA", at positions 509 to 809 of the family's 1533-position model. The record is from RNAcentral.
CAGCAGCCACGGGAAUACGUAGGGUGCGAGCGUUAAUCGGAAUUACUGGGCGUAAAGCGUGCGCAGGCGGUUAUAUAAGACAGAUGUGAAAUCCCCGGGCUCAACCUGGGACCUGCAUCUGUGACUGUAUAGCUAGAGUACGGUAGAGGGGGAUGGAAUUCCGCGUGUAGCAGUGAAAUGCGUAGAUAUGCGGAGGAACACCGAUGGCGAAGGCAAUCCCCUGGACCUGUACUGACGCUCAUGCACGAAAGCGUGGGGAGCAAACAGGAUUAGAUACCCCUGUAGUCCCUGUCUCUUAUAA